GUGUCGGUAGACUCAACUGGAAGAGCACCUGGUUGUGGCCCGGGUCGUUAGGGGUUCGAAUCCCCUCCGACACCCCA
RNAcentral lists this transfer RNA (77 nucleotides) under Deltaproteobacteria bacterium. Its description in RNAcentral is "tRNA-His". It matches the Rfam family "tRNA". From Rfam's summary of the family: Transfer RNA (tRNA) molecules are approximately 80 nucleotides in length. Lineage: Bacteria; Pseudomonadati; Myxococcota; Myxococcia. The record is from RNAcentral.